Molecule: long non-coding RNA, 3966 nt
Organism: Oncorhynchus tshawytscha (Chinook salmon)
Lineage: Eukaryota; Metazoa; Chordata; Actinopteri; Salmoniformes; Salmonidae
Source: Ensembl
GGAGAUUACAAAUAUUCAAACAAUAGUUACUAUUUGAAGAGAAUACAGUAGAAAAUGUUUUUUUUUUUAAACACACCAAUCUAAUAAUGAGAUUUUUUUAAUAAUAUUUUUUUCCUUAUAAGAGUGACUAGUUACAAACCAGACGAUCAUUCAAAUAAUACUCCACUGUCAGUGAGCGUUGUCACAACAAGCCUCACUCUCCUAGUAUUUCCUCAAAGUCAGAUACCCACACAAAAGAUCUUUGUUCAAGAAACUCAAACAGACAAGAAAUUAAAAUAAUUCUUAGAGUUCACAGAAAAUAAAAAUAAUUCAGUUUACAAUCAUAACACUACAGUAAAUAUUAAAUUCAACAUUACAGAAAAUUUCAGAAAACAAAAAUAUGGUAUGAAGAACACAAAACACAUAUGACCUUAUUCAGAAUCCUACAAAAGUUACUGGUAAAAUCUAGUAAGACAAAACUCCUUUAACUAAAUAUCAAAAAUGUAAUCCGUGCAUUAAACAAAAUGAAAUAAGACAUUCAUCUUCUUGAAAAAAACAACCUCAACAAGAAAUACAUGUUUAGAGUGAAAGACAACAAUCAUAUUUAUACCACGAAAGCUUUGUGUGGCGACAAAACAGCAAGGGUUAGGCAAGAGGACGAUUUGAAAUGGCUUGUUGCAUUGUGCCGACCUCGUGGUGUUUUCUAAGGCUUUGGAUGAGUAAUACAAUCAGGUCAAGCUCUUCCAUACAAUGUCUUUUCAUACAAUGCAUGCAGAAGCAUGAGGGUUAACCCAAAAACAAUCUACACUCCCCCACGCUUCCAUACACAAAUUUACACUCACCCCCCUCUUGUCCAUACACAACUUCAUCUGUGAUUUUGGCCCCACACAUUUGCUGAACAGAGCUCCACUAGUGCACCCACAUAUGUCAACACAGAACACAGAAGAAAAAUACCAAAAAAACAUUUGACUGUAUCUAUCCCAAAGCAUCCAUACUAUCACACAUUAAAAUACACAUAAUGCGUUUUCACAAGUUCUCUCACAAAUCAUAGACCAUACAAACUGCACUUAAUAAAACAUACCAUUUUUAAAAAAUCAUUAAAUGAAUUAUAAUGAAAUGAAAACCACACCAUGUUCGAACAACUCAACCAUAAGCCACCCUGUAACUCUUGGAAAGUGCUCCUCACUCCACUCAGCGGUUUGGUUUAUCACGCAACUUUCAGUAGUUCUUCAUUCUAUCCUUCCUUUUUAACAGUCUCCACUCCUACUUCGUCACACGUGAGACUUUUGGAAUAAUAUUGGGUCCAGGGCCAAAGCCCCAUGCAUUAAGCCUUUACAGUCUAUAAACUUUAUACUCAGAGACAGAGAGGACUGGGUCCUAACAGAACCAACUAGAGUCUAUAGCCUUUAUACCCAGAGAGGACUGGGUCCUAACAGAACCAACUAGAGUCUAUAGCCUUUAUACCCAGAGAGGACUGGGUCCUAACAGAACCAACUAGAGUCUAUAGCCUUUAUACCCAGAGACAGAGAGGACCAGGUCCUAACAGAACCAAAUAGAGUCUAUAGACUUCAUACCCAGAGACAGAGAGGACAGGGUCCUAACAGAACCAACUAGAGUCUAUAGCCUUUAUACCCAGAGAGGACUGGGUCCUAACAGAACCAACUAGAGUCUAUAGCCUUUAUACCCAGAGACAGAGAGGACUGGGUCCUAACAGAACCAACUAGAGUCUAUAGACUUUAUACCCAGAGACAGAGAGGACCAGGUCCUAACAGAACCAACUAGAGUCUAUAGACUUUAUACCCAGAGACAGAGAGGACUGGGUCCUAACAGAACCAACUAGAGUCUAUAGACUUUAUACCCAGAGACAGAGAGGACCAGGUCCUAACAGAACCAACUAGAGUCUAUAGACUUUAUACUCAGAGACAAAGAGGACUGGGGCCUAACAGAACCAACUAGAGUCUAUAGACUUUAUACCCAGAGACAGAGAGGACCAGGUCCUAACAGAACCAACUAGAGUCUAUAGACUUUAUACUCAGAGACAAAGAGGACUGGGGCCUAACAGAACCAACUAGAGUCUAUAGACUUUAUACCCAGAGACAGAGAGGACCAGGUCCUAACAGAACCAACUAGAGUCUAUAGACUUCAUACCCAGAGAGGACCAGGUCCUAACAGAACCAACUAGAGUCUAUAGACUUUAUACUCAGAGAGUACUGGGUCCUAACAGGACCAACUAGAGUCUAUAGACUUUAUACCUAGAGAGGACCAGGUCCUAACAUAACCAACUUAGAGUCUAUAGACUUUAUACUCAGAGAGGACCAGGUCCUAAAAGAACCAACUAGAGUCUAUAGACUUUAUACCCAGAGAGGACCAGGGCCUAACAGAACCAACUAGAGUCUAUAGAUGUUAUACCCAGAGACAGAGAGGACCAGGUCCUAACAGCACCAACUAGAGUCUAUAUACUUUAUACCAAGAGACAGAGAGGACCAGGGCCUAACAUAACCAACUAGAGUCUAUAGACGUUAUGCCCAGAGACAGAGAGGACCAGGUCCUAACAGAACCAACUAGAGUCUAUAUACUUUAUACCCAGAGAGGACCAGGUCCUAACAGAGCCAACUAGAGUCUAUAGACUUUAUACUCAGAGACAAAGAGGACCAGGUCCUAACAGAACCAACUAGAGUCUAUAGACUUUAUACCCAGAGAGGACUGGGUCCUAACAGAACCAACUAGACUCUAUAGACUUUAUACUCAGAGAGUACUGGGUCCUAACAGAACCAACUAGAGUCUAUAGACUUUAUACCCAGAGACAGAGAGGACCAGGUCCUAACAGAACCAACUAGAGUCUAUAGACUUUAUACCCAAAGACAGAGAGGACUGGCUCCUGACAGAACCAAGUAAAGGUUAUAGACUUUAUACUCAGAUACAAAGAGGACUGGGUCCUAACAGAACCAACUAGAGUCUAUAGACUUUAUACCCAGAGACAGAGAGGACCAGGUCCUAACAGAACCAACUAGAGUCUAUAGACUUUAUACCCAGAGACAGAGAGGACCAGGUCCUAACAGAACCAACUAGAGUCUAUAUACUUUAUACCCAUAGACAGAGAGGACCAGGUCAUAACAGAACCAACUAGUCAUUAUACUUUAUACCCAGAGAGGACUGUGUCCUAACAGAACCAAUACCCCUUCUCUGUCUGACUCACACCGUGGAAUCUAAGGUCAAGGCAAAUGAAAAGAAAACCAACAGAAGACCAGAGGUAACCCAAACAAACUACGGUGGGUAACUGCGUACCCAAGAGGCAAAGACCAUGAAUGGUUCAUCUGUUAAUGACGUCAAACUGUAGACAAACGUUCACGGAACAAGGACACUAGAGACAUUAGAGACUUGGAAGGCGUUCCCCAGGGUAACACUGUAACACGGCUAUAAUGACCCCAUAACACUCAAUGUUUUUGGGAUAUACAUACAUAGACUGUGGCACUUUAAGUGGAGCUUGCAACAUAUCUACUAAAGCUGGGAUGGGUUUUAAAACACAAAGGUAUACUAAACCCACAACAUUCAGCUGUCCUUAUGGCACCAAGCCCACUAACCCAUUUCAACCAAGUUGGUCUUGUAAAGAACCAAAUCAUCUACAAACAAGCCAUGCACAAUUCUUUCAGUCUAAUAUGGCAAUUAGUUACAAUUCCUCGUCAUUUCCCCUUCUUGCUUAAAAUACAAGGUGUUUUGUGUAAACCAUGAAAAAAUAAUAUAAAUUAAAGAAAAACAAACUGAAAAUAACAUAAAAGAGAGUCUUGGUCUGCUGACAUACCAAACUAGUGGGCGUGACUAUCUCCUCAUGUUGACAUUCAAAGUGUGUCCGGUGUUUUAAUGGAUGACGCCUCCACAGACAUAAAGGCUGGCUGUAAUGUUCUGUAGAUGACAUAGUUCCUCUCUGUGUAGGAGGUGCUGUUGUCCGUAUGGUGUGUGUAGAAUACACAUGUUCACCACCUUAUGACA